GAUCUGGCUCAGGAUAAACGCUGGCGGCGCACAUAAGACAUGCAAGUCGAACGGAAGUCGUUAUAAAAGGAGAGAAGAUUUGUCGGAUUGAAUUUUAUAACAAUGGCUUUAGUGGCGGACUGGUGAGUAACGCGUAAGGAACCUACCUAUUAGAGGGGAACAACAAUGAGAAAUCAUUGCUAAUACCGCAUAUGCCAUAACUACCGCAUGGUAGAAGUGGGAAAGGAGUAAUCCGCUGAUAGAUGG
Molecule: ribosomal RNA, 246 nt
Filed under: uncultured bacterium
Lineage: Bacteria
Description: partial 16S ribosomal RNA
Rfam family: Bacterial small subunit ribosomal RNA
Source: RNAcentral